UCUCUCUGAAAAUUUUUGGGGGCGCGCGGAUCCUCUCUCUCGGCUGGUUCCCGUUCUCUGGGCAAAACGCCAAGAACGGAUUGGGAGACUCCCUCUCUUCCGCCGUAACAACCUCCUCUCUCUCUGGAUUUCUUCCCGAUCUCGGAGGCCGACGAAGGACCCUCCAGCACCAGCCAUGGCUCUGCUCUCUCCCUCAACGAUCGCUUCCAGCUCCAGAAGUUCUCAAUCGGAUGUUUUCCGGCUCGUUCUCGGAAAUUGAACGCUCGCUCGCUUGAUCGUCGGCUCUCG
RNAcentral lists this long non-coding RNA (288 nucleotides) under Eucalyptus grandis. RNAcentral's name for it is "long non-coding RNA (EGRA_LNC005373)". Lineage: Eukaryota; Viridiplantae; Streptophyta; Magnoliopsida; Myrtales; Myrtaceae. The record is from RNAcentral.